RNAcentral lists this ribosomal RNA (497 nucleotides) under uncultured bacterium. RNAcentral's name for it is "partial 16S ribosomal RNA". It matches the Rfam family "Bacterial small subunit ribosomal RNA", at positions 28 to 507 of the family's 1533-position model. The record is from RNAcentral.
GACGAACGCUGGCGGCGUGCCUAAUACAUGCAAGUUGAGCGCUGAAGGUUGGUACUUGUACCAACUGGAUGAGCAGCGAACGGGUGAGUAACGCGUGGGGAAUCUGCCUUUGAGCGGGGGACAACAUUUGGAAACGAAUGCUAAUACCGCAUAAAAACUUUAAACACAAGUUUUAAGUUUGAAAGAUGCAAUUGCAUCACUCAAAGAUGAUCCCGCGUUGUAUUAGCUAGUUGGUGAGGUAAAGGCUCACCAAGGCGAUGAUACAUAGCCGACCUGAGAGGGUGGUCGGCCACAUUGGGACUGGGACACGGCCCAAACUCCUACGGGAGGCAGCAGUAGGGAAUCUUCGGCCAUGGACGAAAGUCUGACCGAGCAACGCCGCGGGAGUGAAGGAGGUUUUCGGAUCGUAAAACUCUGUUGGUAGAGAAGAACGUUGGUGAGAGUGGAAAGCUCAUCAAGUGACGGUAACUACCCAGAAAGGGACGGCUAACUACGUG